GUGCUCGCUUUAGCAGCACAUAUACUAAAAAAUUGGAACGAUACAGAGAAGUUUAGCAUGCCCCCUGUGCAAGGAUGAUAUGCAAAUUCAUGAAGCAUAUUAUAUUUUU
Molecule: small nuclear RNA, 109 nt
Organism: Dama dama (fallow deer)
Lineage: Eukaryota; Metazoa; Chordata; Mammalia; Artiodactyla; Cervidae
Source: RefSeq, a predicted model, not a curated record